UUCUUCUCACGCACCGAAAUCGGACGGACAGACUUACUCACGCCUUCUUGCUUCCGGAGCCGACGCCGCACCUCCACUUCUUCUUCCUCUCCAUCGACCACCAAGGCAGGCGGCGUCGCCACUUCCUCAUCGCCGCCGGCCUCCAACCCCUCCCUUCAUCAUCAUCCUUCUCCACCACAUCUCAUCUCCCUCACCUCACGGAAGAGAGAAACCCGACGCCGACUCAAGCUCAAGCCUCCAUCUCAUCAUCUCCCUCAAGCUCCGGCUAAAUCCUCUCCCUCACCUCUCGUCUUCGGAUUAGAAGAGGAGAGCCUCUUCUCCACUUCAUCACCACCAUCCGGCCAUCUCCUCUUCGGAUUAGAAGAGGAGGAACCGGCAGCCACCGUCAGAGAGGUCCAUCUCUUCUUCAUUACAACCGGCUCCAAUCUCUCCCGAGCCAUCAUCUCCCUCUUCGGGUUAGAAGAGGGUGGUCCGGCCACCAUCCACCAUCUCCGGCCAUCGCUCUUCGGGUUAGAAGAGGGAGAACCGGGGCUUCAUUUUCUUCCUCCCCUCUUCGGGUUAGAAGAGGAGGAGCUCUUCCUCCACGUCCAGCAGCCUCUCCAAAUCAUCGCAGCCCCUUCCUCUUCAGGAUAGCAAUUAUUCCCGUCUUCAGAUUAGAAGAGGAGAUCCAUCCAUCUCUUCCAACAUCAGCACCUCCGCACAUGCCUACAACUGUCAUCCGUCCGUGAGCUUGGGUCGUUAUCUUCAUACGUGGUUUAUACUUGUUGGUUGUUUCAUGUAUUUGGUUGUUUUUGUUGAUAUUGAAUGCAUUGGAAAAGUGUUAACUUCCCAUGUUAGGAAUUCAUGCACUAGGGUUGAAUUGGAUGAUGAACACAACAUGUUUUCUUAAAUGUCCCUUCCAUUUCAUUACUCUUUUUAAUGCAUUUCACUUGUUUAAUUCAUGCAUGUUUUGUUAAUGUUCUUUUUUGUCAUUAAUUUAGAUGUAUGUAAGUUAGAUUAGAUUAGGUUAUUGUUGAAUGCUUUAGGAUAGUAAAAUGCUUUACUUUAUUCAUGUUGUCUUUCAUCUUCUACAAUUGUAGUUUAGGUUACCCCCCAAUUUCCAUAGCUAAAAACCUCAAGCAAUACAUCAAUCCUAGAGCUAUCAUCCUAUCAUUAUAUUCAUUGGGAAACAACUCGAGUCAUUUCUAUGCUACAUUAGCGUAGAGACUUAAUUAAAUUUGAUACACCCGUAGUUCGGCAUACGAGUGCUUAUUACAUGCUUCUUCGUCCAAAUGCACAAUAUACAGUUUUCUUCUAGGUUUCUGUUUUUGUUUUUUGUUUUCUUGAUGUUGUGCUAUCAUAUUGUAGUUUGUGAACCCUCUUUCUUUUCCUCCCUAUUGAAUGAGAUGUCAGCUGUUGUUAGUUGUUUUAAUCAACGAGCACAACACUUGCUUGAAUUGCAUUUAGCAUCAGGCUUUAAGAAGAAUAUUAUGUGGUUUAGAGGUAAGUCUCUGCAGAGCCAUGGAGAACUGAUGCAAGAAGGGAAGAACCUAGUUGCUUAUGGUAUCAUAAACUCCAUUGCCAUGAGGAAGAUGUUUUAAAAAUAGGACAAGAUUCAUUUCUCAAAGCAAGGGCAGGCGUUCAGUUCUAAAGUUCCAAGUAUGCAUAUUGAAAUCCUUCAAUCUCCAUGGCUCUGUGAACUGGUGGCCUUUUACAUUAACUUGAUGGCCUUUUACGUAAAACUGCCUCAUUUGAGCUGUAAAAGCCUAUCUUCUUUGUGCUGUCAUGCAGUGCACUAGAUUGCAAUUUGAACAGCAUAUCCUUUUUCUAAA
Zingiber officinale is the source of this 1811-nucleotide long non-coding RNA. RefSeq lists it as uncharacterized. The record is from RefSeq and is a predicted model, not a curated record. The transcript has 2 exons. NCBI's taxonomy places the organism in Eukaryota, Viridiplantae, Streptophyta, Magnoliopsida, Zingiberales, Zingiberaceae.